Anguilla anguilla (European eel) is the source of this 201-nucleotide long non-coding RNA. RefSeq lists it as uncharacterized. NCBI's taxonomy places the organism in Eukaryota, Metazoa, Chordata, Actinopteri, Anguilliformes, Anguillidae. The record is from RefSeq and is a predicted model, not a curated record. The transcript has 3 exons.
GGAAGGUCCAGCAGAGCGCAUGAUAAGAAAUGUGAAAAAUAACAAUAAGCACAAAAAGCAAGGUGAUAAAAGGGAAUUCGCCGUGUGAAGACUAUAACGUUGAUAACUGUGUGGGCUGUUUUGCGGAUGCAGUACCUACCUCUCUGUCACCUAGGAUACGCUGAGGCCUGUGAUGAAGGGAUGGAUGAUGGAGGGAUGGAA